This 391-nucleotide long non-coding RNA is filed under the name Bos mutus (wild yak). Its description in RNAcentral is "lncRNA (ENSBMUG00000022831.1)". Lineage: Eukaryota; Metazoa; Chordata; Mammalia; Artiodactyla; Bovidae. The record is from RNAcentral.
CCGAGCUGCUGUUGUGCUCCAUGUCUGAAAGAUGUUUUCUUUUUUCGUUCUUUGCUCUAGUUACGAGGAUCCUGACAAGUGCCUGCUUCUCUAUGGUGAUGAUCAGAACUUGGAAGAAGCUGCCUGAAGUUGAGAACGUGCCAAACAUUAACCUUAAUAAUGCUGUGAACUCUCCAAACGUAAGCUAUAUCCUCUGGCAAGCGCACGGGGACUCGGUUACUCAGCUGAACUACUAUGAUUCUAUCAAAGCUGUCAUUUCAAGCUCCAACCACGAGCCCACUGCUCUAGUCAUCGGUACUGCUUGCCCUUCUCUUAAGUUUCCCGUGUUCCCUUUUUGUGUGUCAGACCCUUGACUUUCUCCCACCUUUAGAAUUUCUACAUUGCAGCAGGC